Molecule: unclassified non-coding RNA, 201 nt
Filed under: Hevea brasiliensis (rubber tree)
Lineage: Eukaryota; Viridiplantae; Streptophyta; Magnoliopsida; Malpighiales; Euphorbiaceae
Source: RNAcentral
GUUGGGUUGGUCUGUCACUUUGCGGUCUUUGUGGGGGGCCAGACGAGACGGCAGACCAUUUGUUUUUAUCCUGCCCGGCUACUGAAGGCCUUUGGACCUACUUCCGAUCGGCUCUAGGAGUCCGGGGGCGACCUGAAUCCAUCUCACAGGCUUGGACAUCUUGGAGGGUCUUGGGUGUGGCGAGGGGUACGCGACGCACUU